Hemiscyllium ocellatum (epaulette shark) is the source of this 416-nucleotide long non-coding RNA. RefSeq lists it as uncharacterized. Lineage: Eukaryota; Metazoa; Chordata; Chondrichthyes; Orectolobiformes; Hemiscylliidae. The transcript is spliced from 3 exons. The record is from RefSeq and is a predicted model, not a curated record.
GAGCCCCUCAAGUGACCAAUUUUUUGCCAGUUCAGCAGUCUGGUAUCAAUGGAAGAUGGCCUCUUUUAAUCCAGCGAAGAAAGGGAAAUCAUAGGACUCAGUCCUUGCUGAAUUUAAGCAUCUCACAUGGAAGAGUCAUGGAGGAAAACAUGAACCUAACUGCCACAUAUUUUCAUGAUCAAGACCAUUUAAGGUUAGUUGAGGAUAUGCUAAUACUCCUGAACCCUGCUGAUCAUUGGAAACCAACUGCCACAACGAAGAAGGUCUGGAUAUAAACUACAGCAGCAGGAGAGCAUGAGAAUUCCUGGAUUCAGGGCUGGAGGAGGGCCACCAAGUAGGGUUGGGCCAUGGAUUUCCUUCGGAUCAGAGCAAAGUGCAGAAGUGGUUUUCCGUUGAUUUCUGCAGCAUGGCUGACC